GGAUGUGAGGGUGAUCUGGCUGUGACAUCUGUCACCCCACUGAUCUCCAGGGUUGAUUUGGCUGAUCUGGCUGGCUAGGCGGGUGUCCCCUUCCUCCCUCAAUGAUCCAUGUGCAUCCCUCCCAAAGCUGCGCGCCCCGAUGAAGAGGACGACCACCCCCGAUGGAGGAGGACCGUUCCUCCGUCAAGGGUAUACAAGUAGCUGCGCUCCCCUGCUAGAACCUCCAAACAAGCUCUCAAGGUCCGUUUGAAAAGCACGCUGAUGCCUCACCUCCGUAGGGA
Molecule: small nuclear RNA, 281 nt
Filed under: Octodon degus (degu)
Lineage: Eukaryota; Metazoa; Chordata; Mammalia; Rodentia; Octodontidae
Description: 7SK RNA (ENSODEG00000022847.1)
Rfam family: 7SK RNA
About the family: 7SK was discovered as an abundant small nuclear RNA in the mid-70s but a possible function has only recently been suggested. Two independent studies have found that 7SK RNA binds the CDK9/cyclin T complex (known as elongation factor P-TEFb). P-TEFb activates transcription by phosphorylating the C-terminal domain of RNA polymerase II.
Source: RNAcentral